CCAAGAAAAGCUAGUAAUGUGAUGAAGAUAUCUUACCCGUACCCGAAACCGACACAGGUGGGUAGGUAGAGUAUACUAAGGGGCGCGAGAUAACUCUCUCUAAGGAACUCGGCAAAAUGACUCCGUAACUUCGGGAGAAGGAGUGCCUUAUUUAUAAGGUUGCAAUAACAAGAUCCAAGCAACUGUUUAUCAAAAACACAGGUCUCCGCUAAGUCGUAAGACGAUGUAUGGGGGCUGACGCCUGCCCAGUGCCAGAAGGUUAAAGAAGUUGGUUAGUGUAUGCGAAGCUGAUGACUGAAGCCCUGGUGAACGGCGGCCGUAACGAUAACGGUCCUAAGGUAGCGAAAUUCCUUGUCGGGUAAGUUCCGACCCGCACGAAAGGCGUAAUGAUUUGGAUACUGUCUCGGAGAGAGGCUCGGUGAAAUAGACUUGUCUGUGAAGAUGCGGACUACCUGCACCAGGACAGAAAGACCCUAUGAAGCUUUACUGUAACUUGAAAUUGGAAUUGGACUUUGCUUGCGCAGUAUAGGUGGGAAGCGUUGAAGAUAUUCUUGCGGGAGUAUUGGAGCUAUCAGUGAGAUACCACUCUUGUAAUGUUAGAUUUCUAACUUUGAACCAUAAUCUGGUCAAAGAACAGUUUCAGGUGGGCAGUUUGACUGGGGCGGUCGCCUCCCAAAUGGUAACGGAGGCGUACAAAGGUUUCCUCUGAACGGAUAGAAAUCGUAUCUAGAGUGUAAAGGCAUAAGGAAGCUUGACUGUGAGACCUACAAGUCGAGCAGGGACGAAAGUCGGUCUUAGUGAUCUGACGGUACUGAGUGGAAAGGCCGUCACUCAAGGGAUAAAAGUUACUCUAGGGAUAACAGGCUGAUCUCCCCCAAGAGUUCACAUCGACGGGGAGGUUUGGCACCUCGAUGUCGGCUCAUCGCAUCCUGGGGCGGUAGUACGUCCCAAGGGUUGGGCUGUUCGCCCAUGAAAGCGGUACGCGAGCUGGGUUCAGAACGUCGUGAGACAGUUCGGUCCAUAUCCGGUGUAGGCGUUAGAAUAUUGAGAGGAGCCUUCUUUAGUACGAGAGGACCGAGAAGGACACACCGCUGGUGUACCAGUUAUCGUGCCAACGGUAAACGCUGGGUAGCUAUGUGUGGAGUGGAUAACCGCUGAAAGCAUCUAAGUGGGAAGCCCACCUCAAGAUGAGUAUUCUCAUC
This 1202-nucleotide ribosomal RNA is filed under the name metagenome. Its description in RNAcentral is "bacterial LSU rRNA". It matches the Rfam family "Bacterial large subunit ribosomal RNA", at positions 1608 to 2818 of the family's 2925-position model. The record is from RNAcentral.